UACGUUAGCGGCGGACGGGUGAGUAACACGUGGGUAACCUACCUAUAAGACUGGGAUAACUUCGGGAAACCGGAGCUAAUACCGGAUAAUAUUUCGAACCGCAUGGUUCGAUAGUGAAAGAUGGUUUUGCUAUCACUUAUAGAUGGACCCGCGCCUAUUAGCUAGUUGGUAAGGUAACGGCUUACCAAGGCGACGAUACGUAGCCGACCUGAGAGGGUGAUCGGCCACACUGGAACUGAGACACGGUCCAGACUCCUACGGGAGGCAGCAGCU
This 273-nucleotide ribosomal RNA is filed under the name uncultured Staphylococcus sp. Its description in RNAcentral is "partial 16S ribosomal RNA". It matches the Rfam family "Bacterial small subunit ribosomal RNA", at positions 88 to 355 of the family's 1533-position model. The record is from RNAcentral. Lineage: Bacteria; Bacillati; Bacillota; Bacilli; Caryophanales; Staphylococcaceae.